This 580-nucleotide ribosomal RNA is filed under the name uncultured Bacteroidota bacterium. Its description in RNAcentral is "bacterial SSU rRNA". It matches the Rfam family "Bacterial small subunit ribosomal RNA", at positions 79 to 659 of the family's 1533-position model. Lineage: Bacteria; Pseudomonadati; Bacteroidota. The record is from RNAcentral.
UUGCUUCCGCCGACGACCGGCGCACGGGUGCGUAACGCGUAUACAAUCUACCUUAUACUGGGGUAUAGCCUUUAGAAAUGAAGAUUAACCCCCCAUAGUCUCUUAGAGUGGCAUCACUUCUAGAGUAAAGGUUACGGUAUAAGAUGAGUAUGCGUUCUAUUAGUUUGUUGGUGUGGUAACGGCACACCAAGACUACGAUAGAUAGGGGCCCUGAGAGGGGGAUCCCCCACACUGGUACUGAGACACGGACCAGACUCCUACGGGAGGCAGCAGUGAGGAAUAUUGGACAAUGGAGGCAACUCUGAUCCAGCCAUGCCGCGUGCAGGAAGACUGCCCUAUGGGUUGUAAACUGCUUUUAUACAGGAAGAAACACCUCUACGUGUAGAGGCUUGACGGUACUGUAAGAAUAAGGAUCGGCUAACUCCGUGCCAGCAGCCGCGGUAAUACGGAGGAUCCAAGCGUUAUCCGGAAUCAUUGGGUUUAAAGGGUCCGUAGGUGGAUAAUUAAGUCAGAGGUGAAAUCUUGCAGCUCAACUGUAAAAUUGCCUUUGAAACUGGUUAUCUUGAGUUAUUAUGAAGUA